GAGUGGCGGACGGGUGAGUAACGCGUGGGCAACCUGCCCCAUAGAGGGGGACAACAGCUGGAAACGGCUGCUAAUACCGCAUAACAAGGAGAGAGCGCAUGUUCUUUUCUUCAAAGAUUUAUCGCUAUGGGAUGGACCCGCGUCUGAUUAGCUGGUUGGUGAGGUAACGGCUCACCAAGGCGACGAUCAGUAGCCGGCUUGAGAGAGUGGACGGCCACAUUGGGACUGAGACACGGACCAGACUCCUACGGGAGGCAGCAGUGAGGAAUAUUGGUCAAUGGCCGAGAGGCUGAACCAGCCAAGUCGCGUGAGGGAUGACGGCCCUACGGGUUGUAAACCUCUUUUGCCGGGGAGCAAAGAGCGGGACGCGUCCCGCCUCGAGAGUACCCGGAGAAAAAGCAUCGGCUAACUCCGUGCCAGCAGCCGCGGUAAUACGGAGGAUGCGAGCGUUAUCCGGAUUUAUUGGGUUUAAAGGGUGCGCAGGCGGAAGCGCAAGUCAGCGGUAAAAUUGAGAGGCUCAACCUCUUCCCGCCGUUGAAACUGCGUUUCUUGAGUGGGCGAGAAGUAUGCGGAAUGCGCGGUGUAGCGGUGAAAUGCAUAGAUAUCGCGCAGAACUCCGAUUGCGAAGGCAGCAUGCCGGCUCCACACUGACGCUGAGGCACGAAAGCGUGGGUAUCGAACAGGAUUAGAUACCCUGGUAGUCCACGCAGUAAACGAUGAAUGCUGGCUGUCCGGGGGGAUUGACCCCUGGGUGGCGAAGCGAAAGCGAUAAGCAUUCCACCUGGGGAGUACGCCGGCAACGGUGAAACUCAAAGGAAUUGACGGGGGCCCGCACAAGCGGAGGAACAUGUGGUUUAAUUCGAUGAUACGCGAGGAACCUUACCCGGGCUCAAACGGGGAGUGACUCAGGCAGAGACGCCUGUUUCCCACGGGACACUCCCCGAGGUGCUGCAUGGUUGUCGUCAGCUCGUGCCGUGAGGUGUCGGCUUAAGUGCCAUAACGAGCGCAACCCCCGCGUGCAGUUGCUAACAGAUAACGCUGAGGACUCUGCACGGACUGCCGGCGCAAGCCGCGAGGAAGGCGGGGAUGACGUCAAAUCAGCACGGCCCUUACGUCCGGGGCGACACACGUGUUACAAUGGGUGGUACAGCGGGAAGCCAGGCGGCGACGCCGAGCGGAACCCGAAAUCCACUCUCAGUUCGGAUCGGAGUCUGCAACCCGACUCCGUGAAGCUGGAUUCGCUAGUAAUCGCGCAUCAGCCAUGGCGCGGUGAAUACGUUCCCGGGCCUUGCACACAACGCCCGUCA
Molecule: ribosomal RNA, 1307 nt
Filed under: uncultured bacterium
Lineage: Bacteria
Description: bacterial SSU rRNA
Rfam family: Bacterial small subunit ribosomal RNA
Source: RNAcentral